UGGGGAAUUUUGGACAAUGGGGGCAACCCUGAUCCAGCAAUGCCGCGUGUGUGAAGAAGGCCUUCGGGUUGUAAAGCACUUUUGUCCGGAAAGAAAACGCCGUGGUUAAUACCCGUGGCGGAUGACGGUACCGGAAGAAUAAGCACCGGCUAACUACGUGCCAGCAGCCGCGGUAAUACGUAGGGUGCAAGCGUUAAUCGGAAUUACUGGGCGUAAGCGUGCGCAGGCGGUCCGCUAAGACAGAUGUGAAAUCCCCGGGCUUAACCUGGGAACUGCAUUUGUGACUGGCGGGCUAGAGUAUGGCAGAGGGGGGUAGAAUUCCACGUGUAGCAGUGAAAUGCGUAGAGAUGUGGAGGAAUACCGAUGGCGAAGGCAGCCCCCUGGGCCAAUACUGACGCUCAUGCACGAAAGCGUGGGGAGCAAACAGGAUUCAGAUACCCUGGUAGUCCACGCCCUAAACGAUGU
This 465-nucleotide ribosomal RNA is filed under the name uncultured bacterium. Its description in RNAcentral is "partial 16S ribosomal RNA". It matches the Rfam family "Bacterial small subunit ribosomal RNA", at positions 355 to 812 of the family's 1533-position model. The record is from RNAcentral.